CAGGUGCUGCAUGGCUGUCGUCAGCUCGUGUCGUGAGAUGUUGGGUUAAGUCCCGCAACGAGCGCAACCCUUGUCAUUAGUUGCUACGAAAGGGCACUCUAAUGAGACUGCCGGUGACAAACCGGAGGAAGGUGGGGAUGACGUCAAGUCCUCAUGGCCCUUAUAGGUGGGGCUACACACGUCAUACAAUGGCUGGUACAGAGGGUUGCCAACCCGCGAGGGGGAGCUAAUCCCAUAAAACCAGUCGUAGUCCGGAUCGCAGUCUGCAACUCGACUGCGUGAAGUCGGAAUCGCUAGUAAUCGCGGAUCAGCAUGUCGCGGUGAAUACGUUCCCGGGUCUUGUACACACCGCCCGUCACACCAUGGGAUCCGGGUUCUGCCAGAAGUAGUUAGCCUAAC
RNAcentral lists this ribosomal RNA (399 nucleotides) under uncultured beta proteobacterium. RNAcentral describes it as "bacterial SSU rRNA". It matches the Rfam family "Bacterial small subunit ribosomal RNA", at positions 1035 to 1439 of the family's 1533-position model. The record is from RNAcentral. Lineage: Bacteria; Pseudomonadati; Pseudomonadota; Betaproteobacteria.